GCAUAUCAAUAAGCGGAGGAAAAAGAAACCAAACAGGGGAUUGCCCCUAGUAACGGCGAGUGAAAGAAGGCAACAGCUCAAAUUUUGAAAUCUGGCCCUCUGGGCCCGAGUUGUAAUUUGUAAGAGGGCGCUUUGGGUGUUGGCCCCGGCCUAAGUUCCUUGGGAACAGGACGUCACAGAGGGUGAGAACCCCCGUACGUGGCCGGCGGGCCUUCGCUGUGUAAAGCCCCUUCGACGAGUCGAGUUGUUUGGGAAUGCAGCUCUAAAUGGGAGGUAAAUUUCUUCUAAAGCUAAAUACUGGCCAGAGACCGAUAGCGCACAAGUAGAGUGAUCGAAAGAUGAAAAGCACUUUGGAAAGAGAGUCAAAAAGCACGUGAAAUUGUUGAAAGGGAAGCGCUUGCAGCCAGACUUGCCUGUAGUUGCUCACCUGGGGCUCUUGCCCAGCGCACUCUUCUGCGGGCAGGCCAGCAUCAGUUCAAGCGGUCGGACAAAAGCCCUAGGAAUGUGGCUCCUUCCGGGGAGUGUUAUAGCCUAGGGCAUAAUGCGGCCAGCUUGGACUGAGGUCCGCGCAUUUGCUAGGAUGCUGGCGUAAUGGUUGUAAGCGGCCCGUCUUGAAACACGGACCAAGGAGUCUAACAUCUAUGCGAGUGUUUGGGUGUCAAGCCCGAGCGCGAAAUGAAAGUGAACGGAGGUGGGAACCCCCCCGGGGCGCACCAUCGACCGAUCCUGAUGUCUUCGGAUGGAUUUGAGUAAGAGCAUAGCUGUUGGGACCCGAAAGAUGGUGAACUAUGCCUGAAUAGGGUGAAGCCAGAGGAAACUCUGGUGGAGGCUCGCAGCGGUUCUGACGUGCAAAUCGAUCGUCAAAUUUGGGCAUAGGGGCGAAAGACUAAUCGAACUAUCUAGUAGCUGGCUCUGGCGGAG
Molecule: ribosomal RNA, 921 nt
Filed under: Lojkania enalia
Lineage: Eukaryota; Fungi; Ascomycota; Dothideomycetes; Pleosporales
Description: partial large subunit ribosomal RNA
Rfam family: Eukaryotic large subunit ribosomal RNA
Source: RNAcentral